Molecule: ribosomal RNA, 425 nt
Filed under: Staphylococcus epidermidis
Lineage: Bacteria; Bacillati; Bacillota; Bacilli; Caryophanales; Staphylococcaceae
Description: bacterial SSU rRNA
Rfam family: Bacterial small subunit ribosomal RNA
Source: RNAcentral
AAGCUUAGUUGCCAUCAUUAAGUUGGGCACUCUAAGUUGACUGCCGGUGACAAACCGGAGGAAGGUGGGGAUGACGUCAAAUCAUCAUGCCCCUUAUGAUUUGGGCUACACACGUGCUACAAUGGACAAUACAAAGGGCAGCGAAACCGCGAGGUCAAGCAAAUCCCAUAAAGUUGUUCUCAGUUCGGAUUGUAGUCUGCAACUCGACUAUAUGAAGCUGGAAUCGCUAGUAAUCGUAGAUCAGCAUGCUACGGUGAAUACGUUCCCGGGUCUUGUACACACCGCCCGUCACACCACGAGAGUUUGUAACACCCGAAGCCGGUGGAGUAACCAUUUGGAGCUAGCCGUCGAAGGUGGGACAAAUGAUUGGGGUGAAGUCGUAACAAGGUAGCCGUAUCGGAAGGUGCGGCUGGAUCACCUCCUUU